Long non-coding RNA from Aedes aegypti (yellow fever mosquito), 1308 nucleotides. RefSeq lists it as uncharacterized. The transcript has 2 exons. NCBI's taxonomy places the organism in Eukaryota, Metazoa, Arthropoda, Insecta, Diptera, Culicidae. The record is from RefSeq and is a predicted model, not a curated record.
UGUGAAAGGAGGGAUUUUGUGUGGUGCUUUGUAAAUCGCUCUGUGGAACAAAUUUGAUUCCCACGAUAACAAUCCCUGAAACUAAUGAUAAACAACAAAAAAAGAAUCCGAAAGAGCGAGAACCUUGAUGUUUCAAUGUAUGACAAUCCAGCUUUAUUGCAUGUAAGAAGUUCUUGGUGAUAUUCUCACAACGGCCAUUCAGAAUGGAUCGACGGAUGUAAAUAAAAGAUCAUUAAGAUAAAAUUAACGCGACGACAUGUUAGUAAGCUCAAAACGAUUAUUGUAUUUGCAACUGUUAAUUUAAAUAGUUGAGCUAAGGGUUAGUCAUUGUACAGGGUGUCCGUAAAUUAUCCGAACAGCAAAAUAUGGGAAAGAUGAUCUCGUAUUGAAAACAAUAAAAAAUCUAUAUCCAUGUACCUUUUUACAUACAUCUAUAUGUUAACACAAAUUACACCUUUGAAUAAUUUCGAAAUUGUUGCUUCUUACUGAGAUAGACAAAUUUGAAUUUUUCGGAGGCGUUUUUCCUGAGGGCCGCUAGUCAUACUAGAGAUGCUUUGUCCCUAAAAUUUAAAAGAGAUGAAUCCAAAUGUUCUAUUAUUUUUUGAAGCAACCUACUGUUUAGUGACUUCAAGUUAGACUGGAAAUAGAAAAUUAUACGGUUCAAAUCCAAUGAGUUCUGUGGACAUUUCUCUUCCGUCAUAAAGCUCGAAAAACAGCUCCCUUCAAGACACCUCAACACAUUUGGCUUGGUUUUAAAAAUAUUUAAAAUCGGAAAUGUAUCAAACCUACUGCCUAAAUAAUAAAAUAGGUUAAUGUUUUAAACCAUGCAAGAAUACUGAAUUUAUUCUGCUUGAUUGCAUAGAGCCAUGCCUUCAAAGUUUGUACGGAUAAUUUGCGGACACCCUGUAUAUAACUUUAUAGAUAAGCAGAAGUAAAGCACGAACGCGAAUCCAUCCCAUCUUCAAAUGCACAACACUUCAUUCUGAAACUUUAGAACGUCCAUGUUGUAACUUGUUCACACAAGAAAUCUGCCUCGACCGAGUUGGCAGAACGCGCCCAUACCCCUUUCUGAACCAAAGGACAGAGAACUAAUACCAUGAUACCUUAACUACAAAUACAAAAGCUACUUCUAUGUUAUUUCCACUACUACGCUCACAGUAAUUAUGUUAUGAUCGUUAGAAUAAAAACGAUAGAGUAGUGCAAGAAUGCUUAGAGAAUUAAAUUUGUUAUAAAUUACAGCAUUUUGUUCAACAAUAUUAUAUUAUAUUAUAAAAAGAUAGUUAAAAAUGAAACAUUUUAGUAACAACA